UCUCAUUCUGUACGUCAGUCCUGCCCUUCAUGUUAUUAAAAGGAAAAAUCAGGGAGAAUAAUGGUUUAGCCAGUGCCUGCUCUAUUCUGGGAGGCAAAAGGCUCUGGACUUUGUUGGGAGCUCUGCCUCAACAGCUGCCUCUCCCCACUCCUUCUCUCAUUUCCCAUAACACUUCAGGUUUGUCUAGGUACUAGGUAACCUCAUUAUGAGCUCCUGGCUCCAUGCAAUUUGGAGCAAAUAAAAGGAUGAGUUUGGUAAAUUUUGGGAUUCCAUAAAAUCCUGUUUUCUCCAUUCUUGUGGAGGGGAUAGGACAUCACAAUUUAGCCUUUUACAGUAUUUUUAUAAAAUAUAAAUCUUAGGAAGGCCAAAGGUCAUCACUGAGUUCUGCAAGGAGGGAAGACAAGUACUUUUGGACCACCCGAGAUUCCCUCAAGCCAGACUGUGCUUCUGGUCUGUCACCACCAGGGGUUUGAGGGUUUCGAGUGCACUUCCCCAUUAGGUUUUCUUCUUCUAUCCUCUCACUUUCUCAAUGUGUAAACAUACUGGUUCUGUUGAAGUUUCAAGAUAUGUAUUCUUGGGCAGGGGAAUAGGAACACACAAGGCUCCAAUGUCUUUGAUGAAAUCAGAUGUAAAAAUCCAAGAUUCAUAAAGCUCUAUGAACAGCUAAUGUGAUAAAUGGAAUGGCACCAUUUGUACUAUUAACAUGCUAAAUCACCUCACUUGGAACUUUGGCUCUCCCAAGAUAAACUUAUGGUAUAUGGAGAACCAUAGUGAACAGAGUGAAAGGGGAGCUAUAACUUUACACAACAUUCAGCUGACAAUGUCUAUAAGGAAAAGUGAUCCACUAGAUUCUCCCCAAAACCUAGACAAAGUUUUUUAUCCUUAGUGACCAAAUGUACUGUUACUUUUACGAGGUGAUUUCCUGGCCAGUGUUCUUUUGAGAAUAUCCCCUUGGAGGGAAAAUAAAUCAAAAAGCAUUUGGAAGCUAAAUAAUCUCAUCCUAAAGAAUGAAUGGGUAAAACAGCAAAUUAUAGACACAAUUAACAAUUUCAUCCAAAAGAAUGCAAAUAAUGAAACAACAUAACAAAAUUUGUGGGAUGCAGCCAAAGCAGUAAUAAGGGGAAAUUUUAUAUCUCUA
This 1138-nucleotide long non-coding RNA is filed under the name Sarcophilus harrisii (Tasmanian devil). RNAcentral's name for it is "lncRNA (ENSSHAG00000029416.1)". Lineage: Eukaryota; Metazoa; Chordata; Mammalia; Dasyuromorphia; Dasyuridae. The record is from RNAcentral.